This 730-nucleotide long non-coding RNA is filed under the name Rattus norvegicus (Norway rat). RNAcentral's name for it is "long non-coding RNA NONRATT026264". Lineage: Eukaryota; Metazoa; Chordata; Mammalia; Rodentia; Muridae. The record is from RNAcentral.
UCUCACACUGUCUGUUCUCUCUGCUGACACCUUCCCUGGUUGGACGGAGAAGUCUUUUAUUACUUUCCUACUGCUUCGGUGAGACACUAUGACCAAAGUUAACUGGGAGAGGAAAACCGGAAGAACUUUAUUUGGCUCAUGUAUUCUGCACCACAGUCUAUGCUGGGACGCCAAGGCAUGAACCCAAUCCAGAAACUUGCUUUUUCCCAGAGAGGUCCUUUAAAAGUGUUGGACCACUGACUGCAGUUCCGUUCACGGCCACAGACAGUGGCUGGGGUGGUUGGCAGGAGAGACACGUGAAGGACUGAUUUGCCUUUCCAUGACACGCAGGCGGGUGGCACGGUGCCCAGGACUGCAGUACAAAGGCCACCCCUAGAUCAGGUAAGGCCCCAUCUGAGCACAGAAAAUACAUAUUUGAGAAACGUCAGCACCAAGGAUGUCAUUUUUUCUGUUCCAGGAUAUUCGUUUGAAAAAACGGGAACAAUAAUAAAACAUAACACAGUGACUCCUGGGCCUGGACUAUUUUGCCAUGUGACCACACUGACCAAGAAACAGAAGGGGCAACACAGCUAAAGCGUUAUAAAAAAAAAACAACGUGAAGUGCUAAACGUGUUCCCUUCCAUUUUGAAAGAGGCUCCAUCCUUCUCGGCUGAGCGUACCAAAGACUAAGCGAGCGGGUGCCCGAGAGUAUAAACAUUGCUCACAGCCUUGCGCCCCAGAGAAGCAAGAA